Molecule: unclassified non-coding RNA, 296 nt
Filed under: Glomeromycetes sp.
Lineage: Eukaryota; Fungi; Glomeromycota; Glomeromycetes
Description: partial contains 5.8S ribosomal RNA and internal transcribed spacer 2
Rfam family: 5.8S ribosomal RNA (bases 1-65)
Source: RNAcentral
GUGAAUCAUCAAAUUUUUGAACGCAAAUUGCACUCUCUUCGGAGAGUAUGCCUGUUUGAGGGUAAUUAAAAAGAAUCUUUAAGCAAUUUUUUUUGGUCAAAGGAAAUGAGCUGUCCGCGUUUAUAGAGGUAGCUUGAAAUAAAUGGUCAAGUCUCAUUUUAGUUGAGACGCAUAAUAAUAUUUUUUCGCGAAAUAUUAAUUAUGUGACUAACAAGUUUUGAUGCAUAAAAAUUUGCUUUGUAUGAGAUCAGUACAAAUAUUUUGAACAUUACAUUAAAUCAGGUUGGAGUACCCGC